Molecule: long non-coding RNA, 957 nt
Organism: Planococcus citri (citrus mealybug)
Lineage: Eukaryota; Metazoa; Arthropoda; Insecta; Hemiptera; Pseudococcidae
Exons: 3
Source: RefSeq, a predicted model, not a curated record
AAUAAACGCAUCGAUCAGGGAAAAUGCAGAAAAAAGUGAUUAUCGACUCGUACAGCGUAGAGAGAGGGAUAGCGAGGGAGGGAGAGGGAAAAAAUGGGGAAAAUUCCAGCAUCGAAGGAAAGCGUACGUAAGAAAAUGUAAGUUAGAGUGUCGCUCGAGAACGCCAUCUGUCGGCCGAGGCGAGAGUUAGUAAUGGCUUAGGGUAGGUCAUGUCGCGUUCGCCAGACUGCAUUGCAUAAAACGAGAUUCUCCUCGGCGAUGGCGAUGCAUCGACGACGCAUUCGAUGCAACUCGAGCAGCACGAGUAAAACCUGCAUUAGGCGAAAGAUGGCUAGAUACCACAAGGUUCCAUUUUUUUUCCAUGGGUGAAACGACGACGACGUGUCUCAGCCAGUUUUCCCAAGUUACCGGUACUUUCCAGUUUGGGUAAACAAAGGUGAUUGGAGGUCGUUAAUUAGGACCGAUUUUUAAAGGGGUGGACAAGUACACAGGACGACUUUUAAAAACAGAUUUACAAUCGCUCGAAUUGCUAAGAGUUCGCUGACUUCAUGAGAAGCGGAUUCGCGCGGGUGAGGACGAGGAAGGAACAUACGCAACAUGACCUACCGCAAUUAUUUUUUGCCUGUACCAAACCCGCCGAUUGUUGUUGCGCUGUUUUUUCCCUUAUCAACAGGCCACGGUUGAUCGUUUAAAUUAAUCUGAAUUCUUUAAUUAGCGCUCAUUAAAUACGAAAAAAAAGAGCAGAAAAGGAAGGAGAAGAAAAACGAUCGUUGAUAAGAACGUUUUAAUAGAAAUGAUUUGUCGAACGUCGAGUACGAGUAUACUGUACAUAUUUCGUCGUAAAUUCGUUUGUUAUUAUUCGACGUAAAAAAUAUUAUAAUUAACUAAUACUUACUGUAUACACAAUCGUUUGAUAAAAAUAAUGGAAAAUAAAAUAUAAAUGCACAUACGAAUGUA